Molecule: long non-coding RNA, 841 nt
Filed under: Amborella trichopoda
Lineage: Eukaryota; Viridiplantae; Streptophyta; Magnoliopsida; Amborellales; Amborellaceae
Description: long non-coding RNA (ATRI_LNC004081)
Source: RNAcentral
AUAAAAUAAAAAAAGAUAAUAUUAUCAUAUAUGAAUUUCUUAAUUGAAUUAAUUUAUGGGAAAAUAGUUUAGAAAGUGGGGGAUAAUGAUUACAGCACAUUCCAUAGGAUAUUGAUGACCCAUCUAUGGAAUAGAGAGCCCAUAUCUCUCACCCCACAAGUUACCUAAGAUCAAUGAUGUAUAUUCAAUCUCACAUAAGUAGCAAGCCAAGGAAAAACUUAAAAAACCUAAAUUUGUUCAAACAUUAUAAAAAAGGGAGUAUCCAACCUAAAAUCUCUACACCUAACUUUCAAUCUCUCUCUUACAUCCCACAAAGGGGGCCAUACCUCACUCAAGGAAUUCUCUCUUAUUUUGAAACUCAUUUUUUUUUAACGAAAAUUAUUGCGAAUAUAGAAUGCACUACAAACCAAUUCUUAUUUUGGAAACUCUCUCUCUCAUGAAAGUCCAAAGGGGGGUAUGCACCUCUCAUAGUCAUUUGACUUCUUCUCUCUCCCAUCUCUCAACUUUGAAUUUAUGGCUAAGAGUUUCAGGGUGUACCAAAAAGAGAAUCUACAUCUCUCAAACUAGGUUAUUAAAGGGGACUCACUUAGGGUUUCAGUUUUGUGAUCAAAAGGGUUCAUGUUCCAUUGGCUUGGCUUGUCCAAAUUUAUUUUUCCAGUUAAGAUUGAAGGUUGGCUAUUAGAUCCUACGCCAUCGAAAGGUGGUGACUCGCUGUGGGGUGUAAGAAGCCAUGUUGAGGUAAUCUUCAGCACCCACUUUUGUUUCUUGCUUAUUCGUUUAUUGUGUUCUUUAUUCCCUAGCAUAAGUGUCUUUUUUCUUUGUUAUUUUGAAUGGCUUCAAG